This 2902-nucleotide long non-coding RNA is filed under the name Castor canadensis (American beaver). Its description in RNAcentral is "lncRNA (ENSCCNG00000025848.1)". The record is from RNAcentral. Lineage: Eukaryota; Metazoa; Chordata; Mammalia; Rodentia; Castoridae.
CCACCAGCCCCUAAAAUUCUUUUUUCUAUUUCUUUUUGCAGUACUGGGGCUUGAACUCAGGGCCUACACUUUGAGCCACUCCACCAGCCCUAUUUUUGUGAAGCGAACUAUUUGCCCAGGCUGGCUUCGAACUUCAAUCUUCCUGACUCUGCCUUCUGAGUAGCUAGGAUUAUAGGCGUGAGCCACCAGCACCUGGCUUCCCUGAAAUUCUUUUUUUUUUUUUUUUUUUUUUUUUUUGGCUUUUUUUUUUUUUCUUUUCCCUGAAAUUCUUAAUGACAUAAUUAAUGAUUAUAGUUUAACCUUAUUAUAUGCAUUGGGUGAUUCUCUGAAAAGUUGCUUAUAAUGUGAAAGGGGCAUACCAAAUUAUACUUCCUACUCACUUCUGUCAUUUUCACAAUUACAUUUCAGUGGGAAAUUUGGCUUUCAGACAUAAUUUUAUAAAUGGCACUUAAGAAUCUAAAGAGUUGGCUUUGAAGAAUAUGCAGUCUGCUACCUGGGUGUGGGUAAGCCUCUGUGCAGGCUAUAAGAAAGUUACUUUUGCAAUCCAUGUAAAAAUACUACACUGCAUAUAAUUCCCAUUUCCAGGCAGGAUUUUUUUUUUUUUUUUUUUUUUUUUUUUUUUUCCAUACUGAGUUUGAAACAGCCCACUCCACCUUGAGCCACUCCACCAGCCCUUUUUUGUGAUGGGUUUUUUUGAGAUAGGGUCUCACGAACUAUUUGCCCAGGCUGGCUUCCAACUGUGAUCCUCCUGAUCUCUGCCUCAUAAGUAGCUAGGAUUACAGGCAUGAGCCACCAGUACCUGGCUUAGGUUUUAUUUUUUUAAGUAGACCCUGAGUCUCCUUUAUCUGAAGCAUUCAUCAGUUUUGCUAGAAGCAGUUUGCAUUCGCUUAGCAGUGGUUCAUGGAGGAAAACGAUCCACUGGAAACUAGGCCAGGAGCAGCAGCCCUUCCUUGUGGCCAGGACCUCAAGACAGGAGAAUCUCAGAGCAGCAGCACUGAACCUCUGCCUAUAGAGGCCUCUGACUGCUUGACAACAGCAAAACCAUAUGAUGACACCUGUACAUGGAGAAAGGUCACGGUGGACAGCUGUGGGCAGUCAAAUGUAGCACCCAAAUGUGGGUGGAAGUUUUCUGUCCACAGGUAGAUGACUUGCCUAUUCUGACUCAGGCAGGGUAAGACACUUGGACUCUCCUUGCAGUGCUAAACUCUAAUUUGGAAUCAAAUAUGGUGGACAUCUUAGUUAAAGAAUUAAAGACCAUGCUUACAGCUUAAAAAUGAAGCCUUAAGCUGCACCAAGUUGUGAAGUGAUUAAUGUUCCUCACAGUAAAACUCCAGAGACUCCAGAAUAAGUCCUUCCUGACAGAUGAUCUUUAGGAGCCAGAAGCUACAAACCCCUCCAGCAUCAUCCUCCCCCCAGCAGGCUCUGUUAAGGCCUCAGUUGCUCCUCUUGUGUUUUUAGUUCCUCAAGGUACCAAACAGCUGGAAAGUGAGUGCUGGGGCCUGCGGAAGCAUACCUGAAGGGUAGACAGUCCUUCUUAUCCCACCUGAGAUGGCUACUUGUCUGUCUGCUGAGUUCUGCUGUAGCAGCCUGGUGUGGCAGGGACUUCUACUCUUCUGUUGAGCUAUUGCCACCAUAGCCAGGCCAGGCAGACUUCAGCUGGUAGGGGUCCUAGAGCUGCUUCAAUUGAGGGCUUUGUUCUCCCCACUUACACUGUUGACAUCUAUUUUCCAAAGUGUGUUUAGAUUGCUCAUUGCUAAGAAUCAUUGUCUUUUCCUGUGUUAAUGUUUGUUUAAGUGAGGAAAGCACAGUGUAAGCUGGUAAAGGCUCCUCACUGUGCACCAGAGCAAAUGGCCUAUCCCCAGCCUCUGCUGAUAGCAUGUUGCAAUGUCCAUGUGUUUCAGGGUCCUUGAGCUAGCAUAAGACAGGUUAAUGAAGAAUAUUUCUUAGUAGUUCCUUUUUGUUUUCCUUUUCAAUUUACAAAAGUAAAGCAUUUAUUAAUGUCUGACUUAAGAAUGUAAAAUGAUUCUGUAUCAAUGUAAAUAAGAUUAUCUACUGCAAAAGAUAUUUAAAACCUUAAUUGUGGUCAUUUCUUUUUUGAAAAAAUUCAAAAGUUCACCUUCUGCAGGUGGCUCUGCAGAGGGUGGCUGGAGAGUCAGCUGCCUUUACCCUCAAGGUCAUGCCUACUCCCCCACCCCCUAGCUUGCUGAAUCCAGGGCACUGACCCACACUGCAUGCUCAGAGCAGGCAGGCAGUAAAUAUUUUAUUGAACAAAACAUUGGGGGAGUAUUCCAAGUUUGCAGAAUGUCACUGUUGAGCCUUUUUUAUCCAUCAGCUCUUUCCCAAUCUUUUCUCCACCCAGUCCAGUGAACACUCUCUCACCUCUCCCUGCUCAGUCCAGAACACCAGGCAGGGUAUGUGUAAGCCAGGCAUCAGAGCUCUGCUUGGAGCCCAGACUAGUUAAGCUAAAAUUUUAAUGUAAAAAAUGCAAAGACUCUGAAAAUAAUUCAGGAAGAAAAAAAUAUCAAUAGAGGGCAUAGUAUGUGUAGAUCCUAGUGAGCCCAUGCUCAUCUUAUAGCAGGGAGGAGGAUCAAAAGAAAACAGACGAGGCCUGAGUUCUGAUAAAGUAGCAGGGAGGUAGGGAUGGAAAACCAGGGAGAUAAAACCUGAGGAAUCUGAAUGUGGAGAGGGUCACAUAACACUUGGGAGGGGGAAAGUUACAUAACACUAGGGUAAAGUAGCCUAUAGAAUUGAAUAUAACCAUAUAUGGAUUAGAUCUUGCUUUUUGCUUCUGUAACCUGCUUGCAAGGUGAGACCCCUUCGUUCUCAGGGCUCAGUCUUUGGAUACGAGUCUGCUGGGUCUGUGCCAGCACAAUAAAAUGUUGCUUCCUGCUAAACUGCCUCA